Molecule: ribosomal RNA, 505 nt
Filed under: uncultured bacterium
Lineage: Bacteria
Description: bacterial SSU rRNA
Rfam family: Bacterial small subunit ribosomal RNA
Source: RNAcentral
CUACGUGCCAGCAGCCGCGGUAAUACGGAAGGUCCGGGCGUUAUCCGGAUUUAUUGGGUUUAAAGGGAGCGUAGGCUGGAGAUUAAGUGUGUUGUGAAAUGUAGACGCUCAACGUCUGAAUUGCAGCGCAUACUGGUUUCCUUGAGUACGCACAACGUUGGCGGAAUUCGUCGUGUAGCGGUGAAAUGCUUAGAUAUGACGAAGAACUCCGAUUGCGAAGGCAGCUGACGGGAGCGCAACUGACGCUUAAGCUCGAAGGUGCGGGUAUCGAACAGGAUUAGAUACCCUGGUAGUCCGCACAGUAAACGAUGGAUGCCCGCUGUUAGCGCCUGGCGUUAGCGGCUAAGCGAAAGCAUUAAGCAUCCCACCUGGGGAGUACGCCGGCAACGGUGAAACUCAAAGGAAUUGACGGGGGCCCGCACAAGCGGAGGAACAUGUGGUUUAAUUCGAUGAUACGCGAGGAACCUUACCCGGGCUUGAAUUGCAGAGGAAUUAUUUAGAGAUA